RNAcentral lists this ribosomal RNA (241 nucleotides) under uncultured bacterium. RNAcentral describes it as "partial 16S ribosomal RNA". It matches the Rfam family "Bacterial small subunit ribosomal RNA", at positions 113 to 354 of the family's 1533-position model. The record is from RNAcentral.
CGACGUGAGCAAUCUGCCUUUGGAUGGGGGAUAACAGCCGGAAACGACUGCUAAUACCGCAUAAUGCAGCGGGACCGCAUGAUUUUGCUGCCAAAGAUUUAUCGUCCAAAGAUGAGCUCGCGUCUGAUUAGCCAGUUGGCGGGGUAACGGCCCACCAAAGCGACGAUCAGUAGCCGGACUGAGAGGUUGAACGGCCACAUUGGGACUGAGACACGGCCCAGACUCCUACGGGAGGCAGCAG